UUGGAUAUGGUGUAAAGGCAGCAUGGUCGCUCAAAGUUGGGGCUUCUGUUUCAAAUGAAGCAAUCGAUCCAGGUUCGACCCCUGGUAUCCGAA
Molecule: non-coding RNA, 93 nt
Organism: Crucibulum laeve
Lineage: Eukaryota; Fungi; Basidiomycota; Agaricomycetes; Agaricales; Nidulariaceae
Source: the annotation of a GenBank genome assembly